CCUGUUUUCUGUGCAUGCCCGGCCCCCUCUGGGGACCUGGCAGUCGUGCACCAUGAGAAGGGGUGGGCAUAGAGGGCUAGUCAGGCUGGGGGGCUCUGUCUGAUGGACUCUGGCUGUCUGCCUUCCAGGGGAAUGAGAUCAACCUUCAGAAAAGGACUGAGGAAUACCGAGUCAUGAGGGAGAUCCUGCUGCUCCAGGUGGCUGCAAAGAAUUACAACCUAGAGCCCGAGGAGCGAUUUGGGGCCUGGUUCCAGGACAUGGAGCUGCUCAAUGAGAAUGAUAGCUACAGCCUGUCCUGCCAGCUAGGGCUCCAGGCCUAGUUGGCCAGCAGAAUACUCAAGGCCAAGAAGAACCGGCCAUCAUCAAGGUCAGGGCCCCCAGGCCCCAACACCGAGCCCCGUACCAGUGGCCAAUCACAGCCGCAUCCUCAGCAGCGGGGACACAGCUGGGACGCUUGCGAUGCACCGGGCCGGCUCCUCCCACCUGAUGGGUAGGGGAGCAUUGCAAGCUGAUUCCUGGGGCCCCGUGAAGCCCAAGAGAGCGGGGACGACCCCACCCCAGCUCCCUGACAUGUCUACCCCAGCAUCUAGUCACCCAUUGGGGAGGGACAGUAGUUAUGUAUUGUAAAUAAUAAAUGCC
Diceros bicornis minor is the source of this 639-nucleotide RNA transcript. It is a transcript of the gene named ral guanine nucleotide dissociation stimulator-like, with no coding region annotated. Lineage: Eukaryota; Metazoa; Chordata; Mammalia; Perissodactyla; Rhinocerotidae. The record is from RefSeq and is a predicted model, not a curated record. The transcript has 4 exons.